UACGUAGGGUGCAAGCGUUAAUCGGAAUUACUGGGCGUAAAGAGCUCGUAGGCGGUUUGUCGCGUCUGCCGUGAAAGUCCGGGGCUCAACUCCGGAUCUGCGGUGGGUACGGGCAGACUAGAGUGAUGUAGGGGAGACUGGAAUUCCUGGUGUAGCGGUGAAAUGCGCAGAUAUCAGGAGGAACACCGAUGGCGAAGGCAGGUCUCUGGGCAUUAACUGACGCUGAGGAGCGAAAGCUGGGAGCGAACAGG
RNAcentral lists this ribosomal RNA (251 nucleotides) under uncultured bacterium. RNAcentral's name for it is "partial 16S ribosomal RNA". It matches the Rfam family "Bacterial small subunit ribosomal RNA", at positions 524 to 776 of the family's 1533-position model. The record is from RNAcentral.